Molecule: ribosomal RNA, 463 nt
Filed under: uncultured bacterium
Lineage: Bacteria
Description: partial 16S ribosomal RNA
Rfam family: Bacterial small subunit ribosomal RNA
Source: RNAcentral
GACGAACGCUGGCGGCGUGCUUAACACAUGCAAGUCGAGCGGUAAGGCCCUUCGAGGUACACGUUCGGCGAACGGGUUAGUGACACGUGAGUAAUUUGCCCAUCACUUCGGUAUAACUCCGGGAAACCGUUGCUAAUACCGAAUAUGUCCACCUCACGCAUCUGGUGGUGGUGGAAAGUUCCGGCGGUGAUGGAUGAGCUCGCGGCCUAUCAGCUUGUUGGUCGGGUAGUGGCCUACCAAGGCUUCGACGGCUAGCCGGCAUGAGAGGGUGACCGGCCACAAUGGGACUGAGAGACGGCCCAGACGCCAACGGGAGGCAGCAGUGGGGAAUAUUGGCCAAUGGGCGAAAGCCUGAUCCAGCAACGCCGCGUGAGGGAUGACGGCCUUCGGGUUGUAAACCUCUUUAAGCAGGGACGAAGCGGAAGUGACGGUACCUGCAGAAGAAGCACCGGCCAACUACGUG